This is an RNA transcript of Symphalangus syndactylus (siamang), 972 nucleotides long. RefSeq lists it as uncharacterized. Lineage: Eukaryota; Metazoa; Chordata; Mammalia; Primates; Hylobatidae. The record is from RefSeq and is a predicted model, not a curated record.
GCAUUUGACACUCGACAUCCUCGUGCUUCUUAAAGCACGUGCCCAACGGUGAGCAACUGCAUCCAACGGUGCCCGAGGGACUCGCGCUGCCCGUUAAGCAGCUUUGUGGUGGCGGAGGCUGGGCUGCGGUCUCUCCGACAUCCUGGGGCAGAGGAAGAGGUGAAGGCUCUGCAGCCCCCGCCGCCCGAUUUACGCUUGAGGAAGCGAAGGCCAGACAGGUCCUCUGCGGGGCCAGCCCACGGCUGCCGGGGGGCCCAGCCCGAGAGAGCGGGACCGGGCUGCGGGGCCCAGCGGCCUGGACGGCGGAGCGUUGAAAGCUCCCCCAGGGAAAGGAAGUGCAGCCGAAAUCAACGACUGAGGUCAUGAAGGAGGGGACGCUUGAGGCCGUGGAAGGGAAGCAGGUUUCUCCAGGAGGGAACCCGGGCCUCCGCUUUGCUCAGCGUUCCCCUCGCGAAUGUGUUGAGCAGCUGUUAUGUGCUGGGGGUACAGAGGGUCUAAGCACCUCCCUCACGCAGGCAGAACCCUGGCUCCCAUGUUCACCAUGCUGAGAAAGACCUGCGGGGGACAGCAGGAGGACAGCCGGGGAAUGGGCCCGCACUUGCCCAGAGGCAGAGCUCGCGCAUGCCCGACCUCGCUCGUCACGGCUCCCUGGGCAGCAGCGCCCUGGCAGUUGGAAGUGGAAGGCUUAUCAGAGUCCGCGCAGCCCCACCGCCCUCCCCACUCUCGGGGUUGGGCAUCGGGGGACAGGGCCAGGGCAGGGAGGAAGACGGAGCCCGGCUCACCCCACAGCUCAGCCCAUGAGGGUGCGCAGAGCAGGGCUGGCAGGAGUGGGCCACUCCACACCCAACCCUGUUGAAGAAAAAGAACAGAAAUGGGGAACAGAAAGUUGUCGAUUGCUGUGUAACAAAUUGCCCCGCAGCUUAGCCCCUCCAAACAAACGAAGCUCCACAGUGUCGCGGGUCAGACAUCCAG